RNAcentral lists this ribosomal RNA (497 nucleotides) under uncultured bacterium. RNAcentral describes it as "partial 16S ribosomal RNA". It matches the Rfam family "Bacterial small subunit ribosomal RNA", at positions 28 to 507 of the family's 1533-position model. The record is from RNAcentral.
GAUGAACGCUGGCGGCGUGCCUAAUACAUGCAAGUCGAGCGGACAGACGAUGAUCUUGCUGCGCUGACGUUAGCGGCGGGCGGGUGAGUAACACGUGGAUAACCUACCUAUAAGACGGAGAUAACUUCGGGAAAGCGGAGCUAAUACGGUAGGAGAUAUUGAAGCGCGGGGGGGAAUGGUGAAAGACGGCUGUGCGGUAUCGUAUAGAUGCAUACCCGCCGCAUUAGCUAGUUGGUAAGGUAACGGGUUAGCAAGGCGACGAUGCGUGGCCGAACUCAGAGGCUGAUCGGCCACCCUGGAGCUGAGACACGGUCCAUACUCCUACGGGAGGCCGCAGUCGGCAACCUUCCGCAAUGGGCGAAAGCAUGACGGAACAACGCCGCGUCAGUGGUGAAGAUGUCCGGAUCGUAAAACCCUGUUACUAGGUAAGAACAACUGUGUAAGUAACUAUGCACGGAUUGACGGUACCUAAUCAGAAAGCCCCGGCUAACUACGUG